This 1116-nucleotide ribosomal RNA is filed under the name Escherichia coli. Its description in RNAcentral is "bacterial SSU rRNA". It matches the Rfam family "Bacterial small subunit ribosomal RNA", at positions 1 to 1106 of the family's 1533-position model. Lineage: Bacteria; Pseudomonadati; Pseudomonadota; Gammaproteobacteria; Enterobacterales; Enterobacteriaceae. The record is from RNAcentral.
AAAUUGAAGAGUUUGAUCAUGGCUCAGAUUGAACGCUGGCGGCAGGCCUAACACAUGCAAGUCGAACGGUAACAGGAAGCAGCUUGCUGCUUUGCUGACGAGUGGCGGACGGGUGAGUAAUGUCUGGGAAACUGCCUGAUGGAGGGGGAUAACUACUGGAAACGGUAGCUAAUACCGCAUAAUGUCGCAAGACCAAAGAGGGGGACCUUCGGGCCUCUUGCCAUCGGAUGUGCCCAGAUGGGAUUAGCUAGUAGGUGGGGUAAAGGCUCACCUAGGCGACGAUCCCUAGCUGGUCUGAGAGGAUGACCAGCCACACUGGAACUGAGACACGGUCCAGACUCCUACGGGAGGCAGCAGUGGGGAAUAUUGCACAAUGGGCGCAAGCCUGAUGCAGCCAUGCCGCGUGUAUGAAGAAGGCCUUCGGGUUGUAAAGUACUUUCAGCGGGGAGGAAGGGAGUAAAGUUAAUACCUUUGCUCAUUGACGUUACCCGCAGAAGAAGCACCGGCUAACUCCGUGCCAGCAGCCGCGGUAAUACGGAGGGUGCAAGCGUUAAUCGGAAUUACUGGGCGUAAAGCGCACGCAGGCGGUUUGUUAAGUCAGAUGUGAAAUCCCCGGGCUCAACCUGGGAACUGCAUCUGAUACUGGCAAGCUUGAGUCUCGUAGAGGGGGGUAGAAUUCCAGGUGUAGCGGUGAAAUGCGUAGAGAUCUGGAGGAAUACCGGUGGCGAAGGCGGCCCCCUGGACGAAGACUGACGCUCAGGUGCGAAAGCGUGGGGAGCAAACAGGAUUAGAUACCCUGGUAGUCCACGCCGUAAACGAUGUCGACUUGGAGGUUGUGCCCUUGAGGCGUGGCUUCCGGAGCUAACGCGUUAAGUCGACCGCCUGGGGAGUACGGCCGCAAGGUUAAAACUCAAAUGAAUUGACGGGGGCCCGCACAAGCGGUGGAGCAUGUGGUUUAAUUCGAUGCAACGCGAAGAACCUUACCUGGUCUUGACAUCCACGGAAGUUUUCAGAGAUGAGAAUGUGCCUUCGGGAACCGUGAGACAGGUGCUGCAUGGCUGUCGUCAGCUCGUGUUGUGAAAUGUUGGGUUAAGUCCCGCAACGAGCGCAACCCUU